GUGCCAGCCGCCGCGGUAAUACCGGCAGCCCGAGUGAUGGCCGAUAUUAUUGGGCCUAAAGCGUCCGUAGCUGGCCGAACAGGUCCGUCGGGAAAUCCACGUGCUCAACGAGUGGCCGUCCGGUGGAAACUCCACACCUUGGGACCGGAAGGCUCGAAGGGUACGGCCGGGGUAGGAGUGAAAUCCUGUAAUCCCGUCCGGACCACCGAUGGCGAAAGCACUUCGAGAAAACGGAUCCGACAGUGAGGGACGAAAGCUAAGAUCGCGAACCGGAUUAGAAACCCUGGUAGUCC
This 293-nucleotide ribosomal RNA is filed under the name uncultured bacterium. RNAcentral's name for it is "partial 16S ribosomal RNA". It matches the Rfam family "Archaeal small subunit ribosomal RNA", at positions 455 to 747 of the family's 1478-position model. The record is from RNAcentral.